AUACGGAGGGUCCAAGCGUUAUCCGGAAUCAUUGGGUUUAAAGGGUCCGCAGGCGGUCAAUUAAGUCAGAGGUGAAAGCCCAUCGCUCAACGAUGGAACUGCCUUUGAUACUGAUUGACUUGAGUUAUACGGAAGUAGAUAGAAUAAGUAGUGUAGCGGUGAAAUGCAUAGAUAUUACUUAGAAUACCGAUUGCGAAGGCAGUCUACUACGUAUAUACUGACGCUGAGGGACGAAAGCGUGGGGAGCGAACAGGAUUAGAAACCCCAGUAGUCC
This 274-nucleotide ribosomal RNA is filed under the name uncultured bacterium. Its description in RNAcentral is "partial 16S ribosomal RNA". It matches the Rfam family "Bacterial small subunit ribosomal RNA", at positions 523 to 796 of the family's 1533-position model. The record is from RNAcentral.